This is a long non-coding RNA of Polypterus senegalus (gray bichir), 924 nucleotides long. RefSeq lists it as uncharacterized. The transcript has 3 exons. NCBI's taxonomy places the organism in Eukaryota, Metazoa, Chordata, Cladistia, Polypteriformes, Polypteridae. The record is from RefSeq and is a predicted model, not a curated record.
AGAGGGCGUAUGAAACGGGUUGAUUGAUGGUGAUACUCUCGCAUUGAACAAGAAGAAGCUGCGCAGAAGUUGGGGAAGUUUGCUUAGGAUUGGCGAAGGACUCCUGAUGGACAAUCAAUGGGGUGGGGUUUAGGGUACAUUCUCGUCUCUGAUUCGAUGGGUGGUCUAUUUGUUGGCCUUGACAUCAAUGAAACAGUAGAAUUUUAACAGCCAGGCAAAUCACAACGGCUUAAGGGUAACAUGUGGAUUGUGUUUUUGUUACUUUCUUUCCAGCCAUUGGAUAUGACGUGAGGGGUGAGCCAGAGAACGUGUGAUUGAUUGUAAGCAGCAGCGUUAAGAAGGCGCGUUGCAGAGUUUGCGUGUGUAAAGGAACCGGGGUUGGAUUCUGAAGUCAUCUCAUAACUCAAGAGUUUAUAAUUAAUGGGUGAAGGGCAAAAGGAGAGAAAGUGAGUGCAGCGAGCUGAGGAAGGUGUUGUAUAGCUUCAUUAACACCACAGUCCAGCAGGAGCAGAAUGUUCUCGGCAGAAGCAUGGAUCACUGCACUGUCAACAGAAUCAUCUCUCUGUAUAAACUUGAGAAGCAUCACACUGAGCAAGUACAUGCAUAUGCAUGCAUGCAGUAUAAACAAUAAGCAAAACUGAUUUUCAGGUCACAAGGCUGACCUGAUUAGAUACAAAUAUGAUCCGUUUCCUUGACUUUGAAUGCGGAUACCUGUUCUUGCUGGGGUCAGACAGCAAAUUCUAGAAGUAUGAGUGGUGAUCAGAAAGGUUUGAACCUUUUAAUAGAAACCCCGGUAAAAUCACACUUUUUUUUUUCAACAUAAUCCCUGUGAAGACACUUUGCCACUUAAUAUGCCUCUUUCUUUUACACGAGUUUCAUGCAGUGCAUCUGGAAAGUAUUCACAGCACAUCACUUUUUCCACAU